UUAAGCGACUAAGCGUACACGGUGGAUGCCCUGGCAGUCAGAGGCGAUGAAGGGCGUGCUAAUCUGCGAUAAGCGCCGGUAAGGUGAUAUGAACCGUUAUAACCGGCGAUACCCGAAUGGGGAAACCCAGUGUGACUCGUCACACUAUCAUUAACUGAAUCCAUAGGUUAAUGAGGCGAACCGGGGGAACUGAAACAUCUAAGUACCCCGAGGAAAAGAAAUCAACCGAGAUUCCCCCAGUAGCGGCGAGCGAACGGGGAGGAGCCCAGAGCCUGAAUCAGCAUGUGUGUUAGUGGAAGCGUCUGGAAAGGCGCGCGAUACAGGGUGACAGCCCCGUACACAAAAGCGCAUGUGCUGUGAGCUCGAUGAGUAGGGCGGGACACGUGGUAUCCUGUCUGAAUAUGGGGGGACCAUCCUCCAAGGCUAAAUACUCCUGACUGACCGAUAGUGAACCAGUACCGUGAGGGAAAGGCGAAAAGAACCCCGGCGAGGGGAGUGAAAAAGAACCUGAAACCGUGUACGUACAAGCAGUGGGAGCACCCUUCGGGGUGUGACUGCGUACCUUUUGUAUAAUGGGUCAGCGACUUAUAUUCUGUAGCAAGGUUAACCGUAUAGGGGAGCCGGAGGGAAACCGAGUCUUAAUUGGGCGUUAAGUUGCAGGGUAUAGACCCGAAACCCGGUGAUCUAGCCAUGGGCAGGUUGAAGGUUGGGUAACACUAACUGGAGGACCGAACCGACUAAUGUUGAAAAAUUAGCGGAUGACCUGUGGCUGGGGGUGAAAGGCCAAUCAAACCGGGAGAUAGCUGGUUCUCCCCGAAAGCUAUUUAGGUAGCGCCUCGUGAAUUCAUCUCCGGGGGUAGAGCACUGUUUCGGCUAGGGGGCCAUCCCGGCUUACCAACCCGAUGCAAACUGCGAAUACCGGAGAAUGUUAUCACGGGAGACACACGGCGGGUGCUAACGUCCGUCGUGAAGAGGGAAACAACCCAGACCGCCAGCUAAGGUCCCAAAGUCAUGGUUAAGUGGGAAACGAUGUGGGAAGGCCCAGACAGCCAGGAUGUUGGCUUAGAAGCAGCCAUCAUUUAAAGAAAGCGUAAUAGCUCACUGGUCGAGUCGGCCUGCGCGGAAGAUGUAACGGGGCUAAACCAUGCACCGAAGCUGCGGCAGCGAACGUAUCACCCAAGACAACUUUACGGAGUUGACGAUUGACGGAGCGAAGCGACGUCAAAGCGUUCAUUAAAGUCGAGUUGGCUUAGGGAUACGUUCGUUGGGUAGGGGAGCGUUCUGUAAGCCUGUGAAGGUGUGUCGUGAGGCAUGCUGGAGGUAUCAGAAGUGCGAAUGCUGACAUAAGUAACGAUAAAGCGGGUGAAAAGCCCGCUCGCCGGAAGACCAAGGGUUCCUGUCCAACGUUAAUCGGGGCAGGGUGAGUCGACCCCUAAGGCGAGGCCGAAAGGCGUAGUCGAUGGGAAACGGGUUAAUAUUCCCGUACUUGGUGUUACUGCGAAGGGGGGACGGAGAAGGCUAUGUUGGCCGGGCGACGGUUGUCCCGGUUUAAGCGUGUAGGUGUGUGUUCCAGGUAAAUCCGGUUCACUUUAACACUGAGGCGUGACGACGAGGCACUACGGUGCUGAAGCAACAAAUGCCCUGCUUCCAGGAAAAGCCUCUAAGCAUCAGGUAACACGAAAUCGUACCCCAAACCGACACAGGUGGUCAGGUAGAGAAUACCAAGGCGCUUGAGAGAACUCGGGUGAAGGAACUAGGCAAAAUGGUGCCGUAACUUCGGGAGAAGGCACGCUGACACGUAGGUGAAGUGAUUUACUCAUGGAGCUGAAGUCAGUCGAAGAUACCAGCUGGCUGCAACUGUUUAUUAAAAACACAGCACUGUGCAAACACGAAAGUGGACGUAUACGGUGUGACGCCUGCCCGGUGCCGGAAGGUUAAUUGAUGGGGUCAGCGCAAGCGAAGCUCCUGAUCGAAGCCCCGGUAAACGGCGGCCGUAACUAUAACGGUCCUAAGGUAGCGAAAUUCCUUGUCGGGUAAGUUCCGACCUGCACGAAUGGCGUAAUGAUGGCCAGGCUGUCUCCACCCGAGACUCAGUGAAAUUGAACUCGCUGUGAAGAUGCAGUGUACCCGCGGCAAGACGGAAAGACCCCGUGAACCUUUACUAUAGCUUGACACUGAACAUUGAGCCUUGAUGUGUAGGAUAGGUGGGAGGCUUUGAAGUGUGGACGCCAGUCUGCAUGGAGCCGACCUUGAAAUACCACCCUUUAAUGUUUGAUGUUCUAACGUGGACCCGUAAUCCGGGUUGCGGACAGUGUCUGGUGGGUAGUUUGACUGGGGCGGUCUCCUCCUAAAGAGUAACGGAGGAGCACGAAGGUUGGCUAAUCCUGGUCGGACAUCAGGAGGUUAGUGCAAUGGCAUAAGCCAGCUUGACUGCGAGCGUGACGGCGCGAGCAGGUGCGAAAGCAGGUCAUAGUGAUCCGGUGGUUCUGAAUGGAAGGGCCAUCGCUCAACGGAUAAAAGGUACUCCGGGGAUAACAGGCUGAUACCGCCCAAGAGUUCAUAUCGACGGCGGUGUUUGGCACCUCGAUGUCGGCUCAUCACAUCCUGGGGCUGAAGUAGGUCCCAAGGGUAUGGCUGUUCGCCAUUUAAAGUGGUACGCGAGCUGGGUUUAGAACGUCGUGAGACAGUUCGGUCCCUAUCUGCCGUGGGCGCUGGAGAACUGAGGGGGGCUGCUCCUAGUACGAGAGGACCGGAGUGGACGCAUCACUGGUGUUCGGGUUGUCAUGCCAAUGGCACUGCCCGGUAGCUAAAUGCGGAAGAGAUAAGUGCUGAAAGCAUCUAAGCACGAAACUUGCCCCGAGAUGAGUUCUCCCUGAGACUUAGAGUCUCCUGAAGGAACGUUGAAGACGACGACGUUGAUAGGCCGGGUGUGUAAGCGCAGCGAUGCGUUGAGCUAACCGGUACUAAUGAACCGUGAGGCUUAACCUU
This 2988-nucleotide ribosomal RNA is filed under the name Salmonella enterica subsp. enterica serovar Typhimurium. Its description in RNAcentral is "bacterial LSU rRNA". It matches the Rfam family "Bacterial large subunit ribosomal RNA". The record is from RNAcentral. Lineage: Bacteria; Pseudomonadati; Pseudomonadota; Gammaproteobacteria; Enterobacterales; Enterobacteriaceae.